UGCGGGGUGGAGCAGCCCGGUAGCUCGUCAGGCUCAUAACCUGAAGGUCGUGGGUUCAAAUCCCACCCCCGCUACCA
RNAcentral lists this transfer RNA (77 nucleotides) under bacterium. RNAcentral describes it as "tRNA-Met". It matches the Rfam family "tRNA". From Rfam's summary of the family: Transfer RNA (tRNA) molecules are approximately 80 nucleotides in length. Their secondary structure includes four short double-helical elements and three loops (D, anti-codon, and T loops). Further hydrogen bonds mediate the characteristic L-shaped molecular structure. tRNAs have two regions of fundamental functional importance: the anti-codon, which is responsible for specific mRNA codon recognition, and the 3' end, to which the tRNAs corresponding amino acid is attached (by aminoacyl-tRNA synthetases). tRNAs cope with the degeneracy of the genetic code in two manners: having more than one tRNA (with a specific anti-codon) for a particular amino acid; and 'wobble' base-pairing, i.e. permitting non-standard base-pairing at the 3rd anti-codon position. The record is from RNAcentral. RNAcentral also lists the same sequence under 5 other names.